RNAcentral lists this ribosomal RNA (460 nucleotides) under uncultured bacterium. RNAcentral describes it as "partial 16S ribosomal RNA". It matches the Rfam family "Bacterial small subunit ribosomal RNA", at positions 338 to 795 of the family's 1533-position model. The record is from RNAcentral.
CCUACGGGGUGCAGCAGUGAGGAAUAUUGGUCAAUGGCCGGAAGGCUGAACCAGCCAAGUCGCGUGAAGGAUGACGGCCCUACGGGUUGUAAACUGCUUUUGUACGGGAAUAACGUGCAGUACGGGAAGUGCUUUGAGUGUACCGUAAGAAUAAGGACCGGCUAACUCCGUGCCAGCAGCCGCGGUAAUACGGAAGAUACGGGCGUUAUCCGGAUUUAUUGGGGUUAAAGGGUGCGGAGGCCGAAUGCCCAGUGUGCGGUGAAAUGGGCGGGCUCAACCCGCGCUGUGCAGUGCAACCUGGCGGGCUUGAGUCCGCGGAGGGCAGGCGGAAUUCGUGGUGUAGCGGUGAAAUGCUUAGAUAUGACGCAGAACCCCGAUUGCGAAGGCAGCUUGCUGCAGCGCAACUGACGCUGAUGCACGAAAGCGUGGGUAUCGAACAGGAUUAGAUACCCGGGUAGUC